CUCCAGACUCCUACGGGAGGCAGCAGUGGGGAAUAUUGCACAAUGGGGGGAACCCUGAUGCAGCGACGCCGCGUGAGCGAUGAAGUAUUUCGGUAUGUAAAGCUCUAUCAGCAGGGAAGAAAAUGACGGUACCUGACUAAGAAGCCCCGGCUAACUACGUGCCAGCAGCCGCGGUAAUACGUAGGGGGCAAGCGUUAUCCGGAUUUACUGGGUGUAAAGGGAGCGUAGACGGCUGUGCAAGUCUGGAGUGAAAGGCAUGGGCUCAACCCGUGGACUGCUUUGGAAACUGUGCGGCUUGAGUGUCGGAGAGGCAAGUGGAAUUCCUAGUGUAGCGGUGAAAUGCGUAGAUAUUAGGAGGAACACCAGUGGCGAAGGCGGUCUGCUGGACAGCAACUGACGCUGAGGCGCGAAAGCGUGGGGAGCAAACAGGAUUAGAUACCCUGGUAAA
This 448-nucleotide ribosomal RNA is filed under the name uncultured bacterium. Its description in RNAcentral is "bacterial SSU rRNA". It matches the Rfam family "Bacterial small subunit ribosomal RNA", at positions 329 to 794 of the family's 1533-position model. The record is from RNAcentral.